GACGAACGCUGGCGGCGUGCCUAAUACAUGCAAGUCGAGCGCAGGAAACUGACGGAACUCUUCGGAGGGAAGGCAGUGGAAUGAGCGGCGGACGGGUGAGUAACACGUAAGGAACCUGCCUCAAGGAUUGGGAUAACUCCGAGAAAUCGGAGCUAAUACCGGAUAGUUCAACGGACCGCAUGGUCCGCUGAUAAAAGGCGCUCCGGCGUCACCUUGAGAUGGCCUUGCGGUGCAUUAGCUAGUUGGUGGGGUAACGGCCCACCAAGGCGACGAUGCAUAGCCGACCUGAGAGGGUGAUCGGCCACACUGGGACUGAGACACGGCCCAGACUCCUACGGGAGGCAGCAGUAGGGAAUCUUCCACAAUGGACGAAAGUCUGAUGGAGCAACGCCGCGUGAGUGAUGAAGGCUUUCGGAUCGUAAAACUCUGUUGUAAGGGAAGAACACGUACGAGAGGGAAUGCUCGUACCUUGACGGUACCUUACGAGAAAGCCACGGCUAACUACGUGCCAGCCGCCGCGGUAA
Molecule: ribosomal RNA, 524 nt
Filed under: uncultured bacterium
Lineage: Bacteria
Description: partial 16S ribosomal RNA
Rfam family: Bacterial small subunit ribosomal RNA
Source: RNAcentral